CCUACGGGAGGCAGCAGUGGGGAAUAUUGGACAAUGGGCGCAAGCCUGACCCAGCAACGCCGCGUGAAGGAAGAAGGCUUUCGGGUUGUAAACUUCUUUUCUCAGGGACGAAGCAAAUGACAGUACCUUAGGAAUAAGCCACUGCUAACUACGUGCCAGCAGCCGCGGUAAGACGGAGGUGGCAAGCGUUAUCCGGAUUUACUGGGUGUAAAGGGGGUGUAGGCGGGGCCGCAAGGCAGAUGUGAAAACCCUGGGCUCAACCUGUGGCCUGCAUUUGAAACUGUGUUUCUUGAGUACUGGAGAGGUAGGUGGAAUUCCUAGUGUAGCGGUGAAAUGCGUAGAUAUUAGGAGGAACACCAGUGGCGAAGGCGGCCUACUGGACGGUGACUGACGCUGAGGCUCGAAAGCGUGGGGAGCAAACAGGAUUAGAUACCCCGGUAGUC
This 443-nucleotide ribosomal RNA is filed under the name uncultured bacterium. RNAcentral's name for it is "partial 16S ribosomal RNA". It matches the Rfam family "Bacterial small subunit ribosomal RNA", at positions 338 to 795 of the family's 1533-position model. The record is from RNAcentral.